Molecule: long non-coding RNA, 710 nt
Organism: Grus americana (Whooping crane)
Lineage: Eukaryota; Metazoa; Chordata; Aves; Gruiformes; Gruidae
Exons: 3
Source: RefSeq, a predicted model, not a curated record
GCGCUUACAGCAGGAACCGCGCCUGGCCCGGGCAGGCGGCCACCAGCCCCUCCGCUGCCACCUCCAGGAACAGCCGCUGCCGCCCCAUGGCGCUGAACGCCCUCCCCGCCGGAAGCCGCCGCCAGCCAGAAAAGAAAAAGAAGAAAAGAAGAGCCAGGAGGAUAGGUUGUUCAGUUUACUACUGGAGACCUGACUGUGACAGACCACCAAGAAAACAAAAUUUUCAAAGAGAGCAAAGAAGACCUCCUGCAGCAUCUGCAAGUCUCUCCUUUUUUCUUCAGAGUUACGUAGGAUAACUUAGCCAGAACUUAUUGAUGACUGUGUGUUCAGUGGACUCGGGAAUGGACUGGGAGAUGCAGGAAGGCACUCUUUGGAAGGAACAGAAGAGGAGGCAUUUCAAAGAUCCUGCAGGUGACUGAGGCGAGCAAACUCACAGCUUCUCUUUCAGGUCAUGAUCUGCUGCCAGGAUAAAUAAAUCUUAGAAAAUGCCGAGACUGCUCAGCCAUUUGCUGUGGUAUCACUCCCACAUGAAGAACCUGUAUCAUCAUCUUUCUUCAAGUAUCUUCUCUCCUGUGGUAAGUUUUUCAGACAUACAAUCUUCUGUGUCAGGAGUUUUAAGAAGAGGGAGUGAAGUGAGUUCUGAAAAGUCCAGCUCUGGUCCUAGAUUUUGUUGGAAGAACUGGAAGCUAUUGUCAGUAAACCUAGUUGUA